Molecule: ribosomal RNA, 253 nt
Filed under: uncultured bacterium
Lineage: Bacteria
Description: partial 16S ribosomal RNA
Rfam family: Bacterial small subunit ribosomal RNA
Source: RNAcentral
GACAGAGGAGGCUAGCGUUGUUCGGAAUUACUGGGCUUAAAGGGCGUGUAGGCGGCUGCGCAAGUGUCUAGUGAAAUCCCACGGCUCAACCGUGGAACUGCGGGGCAUACUGCGUGGCUUGAGGUCGGUAGAGGUGCCUGGAACUCUAGGUGGAGCGGUGAAAUGCGUAGAUAUCUAGAGGAACGCCUGAGGCGAAAGCGGGGCACUGGGCCGAAUCUGACGCUGAGACGCGAAAGCGUGGGGAGCAAACAGG